UUCAAGCUCUUUUAACUUCAAAUAUUCACCCGGAAUCACUCAUCGACACCUUCUGAAUCUAACUGAAGCAUUGCUUUGGCUUGGAACUCCUUGGAACCAUGUCUCAAAUCCACCAUUGUUGACCUUUGAAGCUCCAACUGGAAAGGUAGUUACGAGUUAAAUCCUUGAGCAAACAAGUUACCACACAUUUCACCUUACUCCACUGAUCAAAAGCCCUCA
Molecule: long non-coding RNA, 219 nt
Filed under: Lathyrus oleraceus (garden pea)
Lineage: Eukaryota; Viridiplantae; Streptophyta; Magnoliopsida; Fabales; Fabaceae
Description: Pisum sativum (pea) long non-coding RNA (PSAT_LNC006084)
Source: RNAcentral